This 18-nucleotide microRNA is filed under the name Callithrix jacchus (white-tufted-ear marmoset). RNAcentral's name for it is "cja-miR-9984". Lineage: Eukaryota; Metazoa; Chordata; Mammalia; Primates; Cebidae. The record is from miRBase by way of RNAcentral.
CGCCGCGGCGGCGGCGGC